CAUCUUCGAUGACAUGAGGCAAGUCGAAAUUAAUGCCCUUAAUCGAAGGGUAUUUAGAGACGAUCAUGUUAAGGAUAGCGCCAGUGCCACCACCAACAUCAACGAUGCAUGUGAGGCCCUCAAAGCCAUUGUAGUUUCUUCAAGAAGUUUCUUCAUGAGAGAGAGAUCGAAUGUAGUUCUCAAGUAGUUCUCAAGAAGUUUCACAUGAGUGAGGUCGAUAAGAUAAACAGCUUGACUUUUAUAUACAUUCAACUAAGCUAACAUGUAGAAUUAGUAUGUAAAGACAUUGCACAAUUAGUAGAAAGAAACUGAAUGUUCUUGAUCACAAAGACAUGGUCGGCAAAAAAGUUAUGUUUCCAUAAGAAACAGAAGCAACAUGUAGUUCACACAAAUUUUUUCCAUUAUAGUUAGCUUUUGAAAAAACUGCUACACCGUUUUACAAAUUCAAUCGUUAAACAUGAUAUUGUAUUCCAAGACAAAGAUAAAGUAUAUGGUUUGUUUACAAAUCAAAGCUAGAAACCCCAAAGCUUUUUGCAUAUUCAUCAUCUCUCUGAUCAUGAAAAAUUAAAAUUAAUAAUAAUCACUCAAAUCAUAUUACAAUAUAUAACAAACUAUGUCAUCUGAUAAUCGAUAAAUUUUAAGAAAAUUUAAAAUGAAAACCAUAAUCUGAAAUGUCUGAAUUUUCUCAAACACUUUCUGAGAAGCCAAACCAAAACAAAAAACAAAAACAAAAACAAAAGGAGAUGAAUGAGAAAUGAGAAACGAGUAAUUACCAUGUCUGGAUUUGGAUGAGGCGGGAAGAGAAGGCCAUGAUCGGUUCACAGUCUUCCUCUUCUUCUUGUAAUUUAUGUUCCUCUUUCAAAUUUCAAAAACAAAAAAUCCACCCAUACUUAAUUCCCAUAAAAAAAAAAUUAAAAAAAAAUAAAAAAACUAGUAUAAAAAUUUCAUGGCACCUAUAAAAAUUCACCGUCACUAGUAUAAAAACCACCCAUACUCCAUUCCAUUUCUUCCCAAAACCCAGGGAUUCGGUGCCAGAACUGCAUCUUCUCAGUUGUUGCAUAUCUUCUUGCUAAUGUGUCAUUGACUUCGCACGCCUAGAAACCAAGCCAUCACAAUGCAAACGCGAGUAUCUCUGAUUAGCAUCGAAGGGGGUUGGCUUGGAAACUAAGAGCUGAGUAUCAUUCAAGGGAUUAUUCUGUAGCGUUGUGCCUACUCCGGAUGAUGCCAAAGUGGCCCCUUGAAGAGGUAAUGAAGGUAGUCAUCUAUCUAGCCUUUGGAAAGGUGCACUAUAUUGCAUGAACAUGAGGAAAUGCGAACAAAUAAGAAUUAUAAAAACUAAAGUGAAUCAAACCCAUGGAUCUUAUUGGGAUUACCUUCAUAAAAGCUAAGCAUUUUGGAAAAAACAUUUUCAAUUAAAAAUAACUUUGAAAAUGUCUUUCUAUUCAAGUAUGUUGGCCCAAAAUUGAAAGUGAUAGAUGCUUUCGAACAGUUUAGUUUGUAACCAUCAUUAACAUUACAAUUUUUUAGAAGUAAUGUAGACGAAUAUAUUUAGUUGCAUCAGGCUCCUUAGUUUCCAAUUGACAUGCCAAUUUAUGAUCCAUUGCUCUUUCUUUUUUAGACAAUAAAUCGAAAACAUUGAUAUAACCAAAUGCAUUCGAUAAUAGAAAACUACGUAAAUUUCCUAAGAGAGUUCUUGAACGGAAGAACUGACAAAGUAUUGAGUUGAUGAUGGCUUUUAUACCUACCCCAAUGAAUAGCUGCUGGAAGAAGUAUCUCAGGAAUAAGCAAUGCCUAUAAUGGAUUGCUCGAAAGCGCAUAUUCUUUGAAUUCCUCACCGCAAGGACAACAGCAAAGAGCACCGAUCUCUGCAUUUCCACCAAUAUAUACAAAAGAGUCAACAUUUGAGUUUAUAUUUUACUUAAAAUAUGAUUUUAGCCCUUCCAACUCAAUUUUCUUCAUAUAAAACCCUACAUAACUUUUUUACUCAAAGAAAACCCAAUGACUAGGAUCCACAUAAGCAAAUUCAUUAAUUUCAAUAUUACUUCACACAUUUUACAUUUUUCACAUGCCUAAAAUACCCCUAUUACAUAUUUGAUGUAGACAAUUAAUUGUAAGGAGAGAGUAAAUGAUUUUGCAACAAGAAAAACAAGACAUUAAUGUUAAAAAUUUAUUGCAUAUUAAUUUUUUUAGAAAGGCUUUGAAUUUUCAUAAACUAUUUGAUUAGUUUUUUUCACGCUACUCUUGAACACUUUUGAAUUUAUCCUUUUUUUAUUAAUAUAUUAGAACAUUGUAUUUCAUUAUCUACAUGCACAUUAAUUUACCUACAACAAUUAUACCAUGAGUGUAAUAUAAUAUCUCUUUUUUACAAUGAUGCAAAAUAAUGUUUAUACCAACAACAAAACGUGCCUAACAUAUGUACUAAUACAUGGAAAAUAAUUUACCUAUAUUAAGAAGAAAUGUAGUUCGAUGCGUAGUAUUAAAAAUACUAUGUUACACCCAUGUUUAUACAACAAUAAAACGUGCCUAACAUAUCUAACAAUACAUGGAAAAUAAUUUAUCUACAAGUUAGAUAAAUGUUAUUUGGUCGGGUGUAUAUAAAUUGUUUUAAUAAUUGGAAAAAUUAAAUAUAACUAGGUGUAGUGAAAUUUUUUUCUAUAAUUAGAACAAAUUAAUUUACCUACCUACUAUUUGAAAUGUUCAUUUCUAAUGAUGCAAAAUGUUCAUUACCUAACUACAAAAUAAUUUCCAAUAAUUUACCCACAACAAUUAUACCAUGGGUGUAAUGUAAUAUCUUUCUUUACAAUGAUACAAAAUAUUGUAUGUAUACCAACAACAAAAUGUGCCUAACAUAAGUACUUGUACAUGGAAAAUAAUUUACCUAUAACAAAAGAAAUGCAGUUUGAUGUAUAAAAUCAACAAUAAAUUUACCUACAAGUUAGAGGAAUGUUAUUUGAUUCAAAAUAUAUAAUAUAGGUGUAGUAUUUUUUUUUAAAUAAUUGGAACACACUAAUUUACCUACCAAUUAAUAUGGGUAAAAUUGCUACAAAAUAUAUCACGAAAAAAAAAACUACUUUUCUAGUUUGACAUGGAUACGGUUAAUGCAAACACUUUUUACAUUUUAUUUCACUUUUUCUACUACUUUUAUUUUGGCAUAAAUUUAGGAAUUUGGAAAACGGACCAUAAAGUAUGAGUGGCAUGAGUGUAAAUAAAUUGUAUUUAUAGGUCAAUAGUGUUCCCAUAUAUUUGCAAAUUUUAAAUUUUGGCUUAAACUGGAUCUUUAAAGAUAGAUGAGUUUUUAUCUAGAAAUAAUAAGUUGUAAGGGCCAAAAUCUAAAGCACCCUAUUUUUUUUUCAUAUUCUGUUUCUUCAUUUUCUUCUAUAUCACUUUCUAUACUCAUAUAUAUACUCAUAGUUUAGUUUAUAUUGGACAGGACCGAUCAUCAUAUGCUCAUAUAUAUGCGUUUGUUUAAUCAAUAAUGCUAUUUAAAGGUACAAAACUAAUCGCAUUUCUGAGACACUCGAAAAUAGCGGUGGACUCUACAAAUACACGCAAAACAUACAUGUGCUAAAGAAUCUAUAACAAUGCGAUUAAUUUUGGGAGUCUAUAUAGUAUUACUUGUUAUUUAUUUAUUGCCUAUCUGAUUAUGGCUUCUCAUGGCAGGUAGGAAUGCUUCUGUAAUUUGGUUGAUUUAAUUUCUUGAUCAUAAUACCAAUUUGAAUGAACAUCAUGGAUAAUAAUUUGACAGCUACGUCAUGAAAAUAAUAUGAAUGUCAUUUUAUCAUUUCCUUUUUGCCAUUUCUCUGAUUUAGGAGAGUUCUUGUGUUGUGUAUAAGCGAUAUGUCGAAAUCUAUUGACGGGUAAGUUCGAGUGAUAAGAAAAUCCAUGAGGUCCGAUUUUGUGUUUGUGGCAAUACAGACAUGUAAUUUGUCCGUUGUACACUAGAUUCUUUCAUUUUUUAGACCCUAUUGCAUGGGUAUGAUUCCAAAUUUAUAACAUACAAGCAUGUUAGAAUAGAAUUAAUUAAUCCAGAAUUUUAUUCAUAGUUGUCACAUGUAUUAUAGGAAUGUAAUAUUUAAUUGUAAUUAGUGUAGGAUCCUAUUUCAAUAGGGACUAAUGUAACCUUGUAUAUUUAUUGUAAUAUUUUUCACACAACAAUACAAAGAGUCAUAAUUCUACAUGUUAUCAAAGCAACAAAAUCACUUUCUUAUUAUUUUUUUGUAACAUAUGAAAACCUACUUAUCGUGUAACAUCCACGUAUGGAUACACGAUCACCAUAUAAAAAACCAAAGCAAUAUAAAUGCAGAUGGCAACAUACCAAAGGUAAAUUAUACUCAAUUCUUCUUAAGAAAUUCAAUGGCAUAGGUGUUGAAAGCAGAGCACACGACUCGAAAGCCUUGGAAUCCAGAUCCCUUAGCCAAGGCCUCGAACUCCUUCUCCGUCCUCUCUUUUCCGCCGGGGUUGUGAGCUAACAUGAUCGCGUCGAUAUGGACAACUCCCUUGGUGGCAAGGCUACUGUCCGGAGCUACCGGAAGAAUGCACUCAGCAACAAUUACCUUCCCAUUGUCUGGGAGCGCAGCAUAGCAGUUCUUCAAAAAUUUCAAGCAAUGCUCGUCACUCCAGUCGUGGCAUAUCCACUGUAAGAUUGCAUAAAGGAUUUGAUAUUAGUUCCAAAUAUAUUGAGCAACUAAGCUCCUAUGAGAAAUUAAUAUUAGCACUACAAAUAAUCAUCGGUUCUUUUUUGAUAAAUAAUAACUCACCUUCAUGAAAAUUGCAUCUCCCUUUGGAACACUUACAAACAUGUCUCCUCCAACAUGCUCCACACCUAUAUUCAACAUCCAUUGACCUCAUAUUCAUUAGGAAAAAUGAUAAAUAGUACAAAUAUUAUUCUUAUAUGCAAUAAUAUUAGGGGAAGAGAAAUUGAACUUGAGAGAUCGAAUGUAAAGGUGAGUGCUUUUAAGUAAUUGAACUACGAACAUUAUUAGAAAUGAAGAACAUACCAGGAUAUUGGGGAGCAUCUUCGAUGACAUGAGGCAAGUCGAAGUUAAUGCCCUUAAUCGAAGGGUAUUUAGAGACGAUCAUGUGAAGGACAGCGCCGGUGCCACCACCAACAUCAACGAUGGAUGUGAGGCCCUCAAAGCCAUUGUAGUUCUCAAGAAGUUUCUUCAUGGUAAUGGUAGAGUGGUCAGCCAUUCCCUUGUUGAAGACCUUGUUGAAUCUGGGGUCAGUGCCAUGGUACUCAAAAGCAGUCAUUCCGUAGGCCUUGUUGAAUGGGAUACCUCCUUCAAGGACUGCAUC
This 5295-nucleotide long non-coding RNA is filed under the name Malus domestica (apple). RNAcentral's name for it is "long non-coding RNA (MDOM_LNC001255)". Lineage: Eukaryota; Viridiplantae; Streptophyta; Magnoliopsida; Rosales; Rosaceae. The record is from RNAcentral.